GCGAGCGGAGGGCGCGGUCGAAAGAUCGUGGCCCCGCACACGGCUCAGUAACACGUAGUCAACCUACCCUUGGGACGGGGACAACCUCGGGAAACUGAGGCUAAUUCCCGAUAGGCGAGGGACGCUGGGAUGCCUCCUCGCCCAAAGCUCCGGCGCCCGAGGAUGGGACUGCGGCCUAUCAGGCUGUUGGUGGUGUGACGGACCACCAAACCUACGACGGGUACGGGCGAUGGGAGUCGGAGCCCGGAGAUGGGGACUGAGACAAGGCCCCAGGCCCUACGGGGCGCAGCAGGCGCGAAAACUCCGCAAUGCGCGCAAGCGUGACGGGGGAAUCCCAAGUGCCGUUGGUCUUAUGAUCGACGGUUUUUAGGAAGUCUAAGAAGCUUCCAGAAUAAGGGCUGGGCAAGACUGGUGCCAGCCGCCGCGGUAACACCAGCAGCCCAAGUGGUGACCACGAUUAUUGGGCCUAAAGCGCUCGUAGCCGGAUCAGCAAGUCCCUUGUGAAAUCGGGCCGCCUAACGGUUCGGCGUGCAAGGGAUACUGUUGGUCUUGAGGCCGGGAGAGGUCGGAGGUACUCCUGGGGUAGCGGUGAAAUGCUCUAAUCCUAGGAGGACCACCAGUGGCGAAGGCUGCUGACUAGAACACGCCUGACGGUGAGGGACGAAAGCUGGGGUAGCGAAUCGGAUUAGAUACCCGAGUAGUCCCAGCCGUAAACGAUGCAGGCUAGGUGUUGGGUUGGCCACGU
This 745-nucleotide ribosomal RNA is filed under the name uncultured archaeon. RNAcentral's name for it is "bacterial SSU rRNA". It matches the Rfam family "Archaeal small subunit ribosomal RNA", at positions 53 to 788 of the family's 1478-position model. The record is from RNAcentral.